Molecule: unclassified non-coding RNA, 336 nt
Filed under: soil metagenome
Description: partial contains 5.8S ribosomal RNA, internal transcribed spacer 2, and large subunit ribosomal RNA
Rfam family: 5.8S ribosomal RNA (bases 1-120)
Source: RNAcentral
GAUGAAGAACGCAGCGAAAUGCGAUACGUAAUGUGAAUUGCAGAAUUCAGUGAAUCAUCGAAUCUUUGAACGCACAUUGCGCCCGCCAGUAUUCUGGCGGGCAUGCCUGUUCGAGCGUCAUUUCAACCAUCAAGCCCCAGGCUUGUGUUGGGGACCUGCGGCUGCCGCAGGCCCUGAAAACCAGUGGCGGGCUCGCUGUCACACCGGGCGUAGUAGAUUUUAUCUCGCUCAGGGCGUGCUGCGGGUUCCGGCCGUUAAAAAGCCUUUUUUACCCAAGGUUGACCUCGGAUCAGGUAGGAAGACCCGCUGAACUUAAGCAUAUCAAUAAGCGGAGGA